UACGAAGGGUGCAAACGUUGCUCGGAAUUAUUGGGGCGUAAAGCGCACGUAGGCGGCUUAGCAAGUCGGAUGUGAAAUCCCUCGGCUCAACCAAGGAAGUGCAUCCGAAACUGCUGAGCUUGAGUACGAAAGAAGAUCGCGGAAUUCCCGGUGUAGAGGUGAAAUUCGUAGAUAUCGAGAGGAACACCUGCGGCGAAGGCGGGUUGCUGGGCUGAUACUGACGCUGAGGCGCGAAGACCAGGGGAGCAAACGGG
RNAcentral lists this ribosomal RNA (254 nucleotides) under uncultured bacterium. RNAcentral describes it as "partial 16S ribosomal RNA". It matches the Rfam family "Bacterial small subunit ribosomal RNA", at positions 524 to 776 of the family's 1533-position model. The record is from RNAcentral.